UACAGAGGUCUCAAGCGUUGUUCGGAUUCAUUGGGCGUAAAGGGUGCGUAGGCGGCGCGGUAAGUCGGGUGUGAAAUCUCGGAGCUUAACUCCGAAACUGCAUUCGAUACUGCCGUGCUUGAGGACUGGAGAGGAGACUGGAAUUUACGGUGUAGCGGUGAAAUGCGUAGAUAUCGUAAGGAAGACCAGUGGCGAAGGCGGGCUACUGGGCCGAUACUGACGCUGAUGCGCGAAAGCCAGGGGAGCAAACGGG
Molecule: ribosomal RNA, 253 nt
Filed under: uncultured bacterium
Lineage: Bacteria
Description: partial 16S ribosomal RNA
Rfam family: Bacterial small subunit ribosomal RNA
Source: RNAcentral